AGAACGAACGCUGGCGGCAUGCCUAAUACAUGCAAGUCGAACGAACACUUCGGUGUUAGUGGCGCACGGGUGCGUAACGCGUGGGAAUCUGCCCUUGGGUUCGGAAUAACAGUUGGAAACGACUGCUAAUACCGGAUGAUAUCGAAAGAUCAAAGAUUUAUCGCCCAGGGAUGAGCCCGCGUAGGAUUAGCUAGUUGGUGAGGUAAAGGCUCACCAAGGCGACGAUCCUUAGCUGGUCUGAGAGGAUGAUCAGCCACACUGGGACUGAGACACGGCCCAGACUCCGUACGGGAGGCAGCAGGUAGGGAAUAGUUGGGCAAGUGGGCGCAAGCC
RNAcentral lists this ribosomal RNA (333 nucleotides) under uncultured soil bacterium. RNAcentral's name for it is "bacterial SSU rRNA". It matches the Rfam family "Bacterial small subunit ribosomal RNA", at positions 26 to 383 of the family's 1533-position model. The record is from RNAcentral.